RNAcentral lists this ribosomal RNA (440 nucleotides) under uncultured bacterium. Its description in RNAcentral is "partial 16S ribosomal RNA". It matches the Rfam family "Bacterial small subunit ribosomal RNA", at positions 338 to 795 of the family's 1533-position model. The record is from RNAcentral.
CCUACGGGUGGCAGCAGUGGGGGAUAUUGCGCAAUGGGCGAAAGCCUGACGCAGCAACGCCGCGUGAACGAGACGCCCUUCGGGGUGUAAAGUUCUGUCAGUGGGGACGAAAAAUGACGGUACCCACAGAGGAAGCACCGGCUAACUCCGUGCCAGCAGCCGCGGUAAUACGGAGGGUGCAAGCGUUGUCCGGAUUCAUUGGGCGUAAAGAGUUCGUAGGCGGCAUGUAAAGUCAGGUGUGAAAGGCGGAGGCUCAACCUCUGUAUGGCAGUUGAUACUGGCAAGCUGGAGUGCGGUAGAGGUAAAGGGAAUUCCUGGUGUAGCGGUGAAAUGCGUAGAUAUCAGGAGGAACAUCAGUGGCGUAAGCGCUUUACUGGGCCGUAAUUGACGCUGAGGAACGAAAGCCAGGGUAGCAAAUGGGAUUAGAUACCCGAGUAGUC